RNAcentral lists this ribosomal RNA (397 nucleotides) under uncultured bacterium. RNAcentral's name for it is "partial 16S ribosomal RNA". It matches the Rfam family "Bacterial small subunit ribosomal RNA", at positions 523 to 918 of the family's 1533-position model. The record is from RNAcentral.
AUACGUAGGUGCCAAGCGUUAUCCGGAUUUACUGGGCGUAAAGGGCGUGUAGGCGGUCUUGCAAGUCAGAAGUGAAAUUCCUGAGCUCAACUCGGGCGCUGCUUCUGAAACUGCAGGACUUGAGUGCUGGAGGGGAUAGCGGAAUUCCUAGUGGAGCGGUAAAAUGCGCAGAUAUUAGGAAGAACACCGGUGGCGAAGGCGGCUAUCUGAGCGGUAACUGACGCUGAGGCGCGAAAGCGUGGGGAGAAAACAGGAUUAGAUCCCCUGGUAGUCCACGCCGUAAACGAUGAAUACUAGGUGUAGGGGGUAUCGACUCCCGCUGUGCCGCAGUUAACACAAUAAGUAUUCCGCCUGGGGAGCACGGCCGCAAGGUUGAAACUCAAAGGAAUUGGCGGGG